AAAAGCGGAGGAAAAGAAACCAACAGGGAUUGCCUCAGUAACGGCGAGUGAAGCGGCAAAAGCUCAAAUUUGAAAUCUAGCACCUUCGGUGUUCGAGUUGUAAUUUGAAGAUGGUAACCUUGGGUUUGGCUCUUGUCUAUGUUCCUUGGAACAGGACGUCAUAGAGGGUGAGAAUCCCGUCUGAUGAGAUGCCCAUUCCUAUGUAAGGUGCUAUCGAAGAGUCGAGUUGUUUGGGAAUGCAGCUCUAAGUGGGUGGUAAAUUCCAUCUAAAGCUAAAUAUUGGCGAGAGACCGAUAGCGAACAAGUACAGUGAUGGAAAGAUGAAAAGAACUUUGAAAAGAGAGUGAAAAAGUACGUGAAAUUGUUGAAAGGGAAGGGCAUUAGAUCAGACUUGGUGUUUUACGAUUAUCUUCUCUUCUUGAGUUGUGCACUCGUAUUUCACUGGGCCAGCAUCGAUUCGGAUGGCAAGAUAAUGGCAGUUGAAUGUGGCUUCACUUCGGUGGAGUGUUAUAGCUUCUGCUGAUAUUGCCUGUCUGGAUCGAGGGCUGCGUCUUUUGACUAGGAUGCUGGCGUAAUGAUCUAAUGCCGCCCGUCUUGACCC
RNAcentral lists this ribosomal RNA (601 nucleotides) under Hansenula anomala. Its description in RNAcentral is "eukaryotic LSU rRNA". It matches the Rfam family "Eukaryotic large subunit ribosomal RNA", at positions 46 to 660 of the family's 3401-position model. The record is from RNAcentral. Lineage: Eukaryota; Fungi; Ascomycota; Saccharomycetes; Phaffomycetales; Wickerhamomycetaceae.